RNAcentral lists this ribosomal RNA (492 nucleotides) under uncultured bacterium. Its description in RNAcentral is "partial 16S ribosomal RNA". It matches the Rfam family "Bacterial small subunit ribosomal RNA", at positions 29 to 507 of the family's 1533-position model. The record is from RNAcentral.
AGUGAACGCUGGCGGUAGGCCUAACACAUGCAAGUCGAACGGCAGCACAGUAAGAGCUUGCCCUUACGGGUGGCGAGUGGCGGACGGGUGAGGAAUACAUCGGAAUCUACUUUUUCGUGGGGGAUAACGUAGGGAAACUUACGCUAAUACCGCAUACGACCUACGGGUGAAAGCAGGGGAUCUUCGGACCUUGCGCGACUGAAUGAGCCGAUGUCGGAUUAGCUAGUUGGCGGGGUAAAGGCCCACCAAGGCGACGAUCCGUAGCUGGUCUGAGAGGAUGAUCAGCCACACUGGAACUGAGACACGGUCCAGACUCCUACGGGAGGCAGCAGUGGGGAAUAUUGGACAAUGGGCGCAAGCCUGAUCCAGCCAUACCGCGUGGGUGAAGAAGGCCUUCGGGUUGUAAAGCCCUUUUGUUGGGAAAGAAAAGCAGCAGGUUAAUACCCCGCUGUUCUGACGGUACCCAAAGAAUAAGCACCGGCUAACUUCGUG